UACGAGGGGAGCUAGCGUUGUUCGGAAUCACUGGGCGUAAAGGGAGCGUAGGCGGUGAGGUAAGUCAGACGUGAAAUCCCGGGGCUCAACCCCGGAACUGCAUCCGAUACUGCCAUGCUAGAGGAUUGGAGAGGUAGCUGGAAUUCUUGGUGUAGCAGUGAAAUGCGUAGAGAUCAAGAGGAACACUCGUGGCGAAAGCGAGCUACUGGACAAUUCCUGACGCUGAGGCUCGAAGGCUAGGGUAGCGAAAGGG
RNAcentral lists this ribosomal RNA (253 nucleotides) under uncultured bacterium. Its description in RNAcentral is "partial 16S ribosomal RNA". It matches the Rfam family "Bacterial small subunit ribosomal RNA", at positions 524 to 776 of the family's 1533-position model. The record is from RNAcentral.